This 288-nucleotide long non-coding RNA is filed under the name Musa acuminata (dwarf banana). RNAcentral describes it as "long non-coding RNA (MACU_LNC009662)". Lineage: Eukaryota; Viridiplantae; Streptophyta; Magnoliopsida; Zingiberales; Musaceae. The record is from RNAcentral.
AGAUUUCCAAGCAACCAAAACUUGUGGAAGAAGAAGCUCUUAGACUAACUCAAAGCUUAAAUCAAAAGCUGCAGAGGGUUGAACAACUUCUAUCAAGGAUAGAAAAGCAAAUUUUUGGAUGAACUAUCUGUUCUCCAAAAACACCGAAUCCUACAAAGAAGCCCUCAAAGCCAUAGAGCCUAUCGAUCCCCCAUCCUUAGGAUUUCUCAAAACAAACGAUUACCCGGGGACCCUUAGCCACCAAGCAGCUGUAAUUAAACAGCACAACACACAAAUCCAACUCCUCAC